CCACCCAUGUCUGGUGAGCUCCAGCCCCAGGCUGUGGUAUCCUGAGCCUGUCACUUAAAGGCCAACCUCUGUCCUGAUGCUGGUGAAAAAGCAGCACCAUGGCACGGUGCUCUGCAGAGAGCUGAGGCUGCUGUUCCAUCCAAGCAGUGAUUUGUAAUCUCAAAAGAUAAAACCUGCCUCAUCUGUCUCCCAGGUUUCACAUCUAGGACAACUUCUGUCAUAAUGUUCAGAAAAUCUAUUGGCAGAAGUCAAAGCUGAAUUCCUGAGAAGGAAAGAAUAUAAAAACAUCAGUGACUUGGAGUGUGUGAAGACCAUGUGGUUACCCCACAAGCAUUGACUAACUUGAAGUUCCAGUGCACUUCUCAUUACAGGUUCUCCAACACUAUUUAAGCAUUAUGGGAUGAAUAUGCACAC
Calypte anna (Anna's hummingbird) is the source of this 414-nucleotide long non-coding RNA. RefSeq lists it as uncharacterized. The transcript is spliced from 3 exons. NCBI's taxonomy places the organism in Eukaryota, Metazoa, Chordata, Aves, Apodiformes, Trochilidae. The record is from RefSeq and is a predicted model, not a curated record.